GUUUUAAUAAUUUAAUAAAAAUAUUAACUUUGUAAGUUAAAAUUAGAUUAGUAUAUUCUUUAAAACA
This 67-nucleotide transfer RNA is filed under the name Koreocerus koreanus. RNAcentral's name for it is "tRNA-Thr". The record is from RNAcentral. Lineage: Eukaryota; Metazoa; Arthropoda; Insecta; Hemiptera; Cicadellidae.